This 534-nucleotide ribosomal RNA is filed under the name Bacillus sp. IP18. Its description in RNAcentral is "bacterial SSU rRNA". It matches the Rfam family "Bacterial small subunit ribosomal RNA", at positions 1 to 522 of the family's 1533-position model. RNAcentral also lists the same sequence under 3 other names. Lineage: Bacteria; Bacillati; Bacillota; Bacilli; Caryophanales; Bacillaceae. The record is from RNAcentral.
UGGAGAGUUUGAUCCUGGCUCAGGACGAACGCUGGCGGCGUGCCUAAUACAUGCAAGUCGAGCGGACAGAAGGGAGCUUGCUCCCGGAUGUUAGCGGCGGACGGGUGAGUAACACGUGGGUAACCUGCCUGUAAGACUGGGAUAACUCCGGGAAACCGGAGCUAAUACCGGAUAGUUCCUUGAACCGCAUGGUUCAAGGAUGAAAGACGGUUUCGGCUGUCACUUACAGAUGGACCCGCGGCGCAUUAGCUAGUUGGUGAGGUAACGGCUCACCAAGGCGACGAUGCGUAGCCGACCUGAGAGGGUGAUCGGCCACACUGGGACUGAGACACGGCCCAGACUCCUACGGGAGGCAGCAGUAGGGAAUCUUCCGCAAUGGACGAAAGUCUGACGGAGCAACGCCGCGUGAGUGAUGAAGGUUUUCGGAUCGUAAAGCUCUGUUGUUAGGGAAGAACAAGUGCAAGAGUAACUGCUUGCACCUUGACGGUACCUAACCAGAAAGCCACGGCUAACUACGUGCCAGCAGCCGCGGUA